Molecule: ribosomal RNA, 1535 nt
Filed under: metagenome
Description: bacterial SSU rRNA
Rfam family: Bacterial small subunit ribosomal RNA
Source: RNAcentral
AGAGUUUAAUUCUGCUCAGAACGAACGCUGGCAGCGUGGAUUAGGCAUGCAAGUCGAACGUGAAGCCGUUGAUCAAUCUUUCGAGAAAGUGAUUCGGUGGGAAGUGGCGGAAGGGUGAGUAACGCGUGGGCAAUCUACCCUUGAGUUGGGGACAACAUCUCGAAAGGGGUGCUAAUACCGAAUGUGGUUCCUUAACACAUGUAGGGACACUAAAGGUGGGGAUUCUUCGGAACCUGCCGCUCAGGGAGGAGCCCGCGUGCCAUCAGCUUGUUGGUAAGGUAACGGCUUACCGAGGCUUACGGCUAGCCGGCCUGAGAGGGUGAUCGGCCACACUGGGACUGAGACACUGCCCAGACUCCUAUGGGAGGCUGCAGUCGAGGAUCAUUCGCAAUGCGCGAAAGCGUGACGAUGCGACGCCGCGUGGAGGAUGACGGCCUUAGGGUUGUAAACUCCUGUCAUGAGGGAAAAGUAACCUGACAAUUAAUACUUGUCGGGAUCGAUGGUACCUCAAGAGGAAGCCACGGCUAACUCUGUGCCAGCAGCCGCGGUAAUACAGAGGUGGCGAGCGUUGUUCGGAUUUACUGGGCGUAAAGGGUGCGUAGGUGGUCUUGUAUGUCGGGUGUGAAAGCCCACGGCUCAACCGUGGAAUUGCAUUCAAAACUGCAAGACUAGAGUGUAGGAGGGGAGAGCGGAAUUCUUGGUGUAGCGGUGAAAUGCGUUGAUAUCAAGAAGAACACCGGUGGCGAAGGCGGCUCUCUGGAAUACUACUGACACUGAUGCACGAAAGCUGGGGGAGCGAACAGGAUUAGAUACCCUGGUAGUCCCAGCCGUAAACGGUGCACACUUGGUGUGGGGGGAUUUGACCCCCUCCGUGCCGGAGCUAACGCGUUAAGUGUGCCGCCUGGGGAGUACGGUCGCAAGGCUAAAACUCAAAGAAAUUGACGGGGGCCCGCACAAGCGGAGGAGCAUGUGGCUUAAUUCGAUGCAACGCGAAGAACCUUACCAGGGCUUGACAUAUACCUGCACGCCCCGUGAAAGCGGGGAAGCCUUCGAGGGUGGUAUACAGGUGCUGCAUGGCUGUCGUCAGUUCGUGCCGUGAGGUGUUGGGUUAAGUCCCGCAACGAACGCAACCCCUGUGGUUAGUUGCCACCGUCGGUGAUGAGCCGACGAGCACUCUAGCCAUACUGCCCGUGCAAGCGGGAGGAAGGUGGGGACGACGUCAAGUCAGUAUGGCCCUUACGCCCUGGGCUGCACACGUGCUACAAUGGCCGGUACAGAGGGACGCAAUAUCGCGAGAUGGAGCAAAUCCCCAAAGCUGGCCCCAGUUCGGAUUGGAGUCUGAAACUCGACUCCAUGAAGUUGGAUUCGCUAGUAACGGCGUAUCAGCUACGACGCCGUGAAUACGUUCCCGGGCCUUGUACACACCGCCCGUCACAUCAUGAAAGCCGUCUGCACCCGAAGUCACUGAGCCAACUUUUACGAGAGGCAGGUGCCGAAGGUGUGGGUGGUGAUUGGGAUGAAGUCGUAACAAGGUA